AAUCUGCCUCUAUGAUGGGGAUAACAGUUGGAAACGACUGCUAAUACCGAAUACGCUCAUGAUGAACUUUAUGAGGAAAGGUGGCCUCUGCUUGCAAGCUAUCGCAUAGAGAUGAGUCCGCGUCCCAUUAGCUAGUUGGUGGGGUAACGGCCUACCAAGGCAACGAUGGGUAGCCGAUCUGAGAGGAUGAUCGGCCACACUGGAACUGAAACACGGUCCAGACUCCUACGGGAGGCAGCAGUGGGGAAUAUUGCGCAAUGGGCGAAAGCCUGACGCAGCGACGCCGCGUGAGGGAUGAAGGUCUUCGGAUCGUAAACCUCUGUCAGAAGGGAAGAAACUAGGGUGCUCUAAUCAUCAUCCUACUGACGGUACCUUCAAAGGAAGCACCGGCUAACUACGUGCCAGC
This 406-nucleotide ribosomal RNA is filed under the name Desulfovibrio piger. RNAcentral describes it as "bacterial SSU rRNA". It matches the Rfam family "Bacterial small subunit ribosomal RNA", at positions 123 to 512 of the family's 1533-position model. The record is from RNAcentral. Lineage: Bacteria; Pseudomonadati; Thermodesulfobacteriota; Desulfovibrionia; Desulfovibrionales; Desulfovibrionaceae.